Molecule: ribosomal RNA, 255 nt
Filed under: Clostridioides difficile
Lineage: Bacteria; Bacillati; Bacillota; Clostridia; Peptostreptococcales; Peptostreptococcaceae
Description: partial 23S ribosomal RNA
Rfam family: Bacterial large subunit ribosomal RNA
Source: RNAcentral
GAAGCAUGACCGUAAGGACAUGUGGACAGUAUGGGAGUGAGAAUGUUGGCAUGAGUAGCGAGAUGUGGGUGAGAAUCCCACAGGCCGUAAACCCAAGGUUUCCAGGGGAAGGUUCGUCCGCCCUGGGUUAGUCGGGACCUAAGCUGAGGCCGAAAGGCGUAGGUGAUGGACAACAGGUUGAUAUUCCUGUACUACCGAUAACCGUUUGAGAGAAGGGAUGACACAGUAGGAUAAGCUAAGCACACUGUUGGUUAU